GGGUACUCGAGUGGCGAACGGGUGAGUAACACGUGGGCAACCUGCCCCUAGCUCUGGAAUAACACCUGGAAACAGGUGCUAAUACCGGAUAAUAACUGUCGAGGGCAUCCUUGACGGUUCAAAGUUUUUCGGCUAGGGAUGGGCCCGCGGCCUAUCAGCUUGUUGGUGAGGUAAUGGCUCACCAAGGCGACGACGGGUAGCCGGCCUGAGAGGGCGACCGGCCACACUGGGACUGAGAUACGGCCCAGACUCCUACGGGAGGCAGCAGUGGGGAAUAUUGCGCAAUGGGCGAAAGCCUGACGCAGCGACGCCGCGUGAGGGACGACGGCCUUCGGGUUGUAAACCUCUUUCAGCUCUGACGAAGCGAAAGUGACGGUAGGAGCAGAAGAAGCACCGGCCAACUACGUGCCAGCAGCCGCGGUAAUACGUAGGGUGCAAGCGUUGUCCGGAAUUAUUGGGCGUAAAGAGCUCGUAGGCGGUCUGUCGCGUCGAAUGUGAAAACCCGGGACUCAACUCCGGGCCUGCAUUCGAUACGGGCAGACUAGAGUUCGGUAGGGGAGACUGGAAUUCCUGGUGUAGCGGUGAAAUGCGCAGAUAUCAGGAGGAACACCGGUGGCGAAGGCGGGUCUCUGGGCCGAUACUGACGCUGAGGAGCGAAAGCGUGGGGAGCAAACAGGAUUAGAUACCCUGGUAGUCCACGCCGUAAACGUUGGGCGCUAGGUGUGGGGAUCCUUCCACGAUCUCUGUGCCGCAGCUAACGCAUUAAGCGCCCCGC
Molecule: ribosomal RNA, 775 nt
Filed under: uncultured bacterium
Lineage: Bacteria
Description: bacterial SSU rRNA
Rfam family: Bacterial small subunit ribosomal RNA
Source: RNAcentral